RNAcentral lists this ribosomal RNA (585 nucleotides) under Cryptosporidium sp. RNAcentral's name for it is "SSU rRNA". It matches the Rfam family "Eukaryotic small subunit ribosomal RNA", at positions 310 to 925 of the family's 1831-position model. The record is from RNAcentral. Lineage: Eukaryota; Apicomplexa; Conoidasida; Eucoccidiorida; Cryptosporidiidae.
UCCUAUCAGCUUUAGACGGUAGGGUAUUGGCCUACAGUGGCAAUGACGGGUAACGGGGAAUUAGGGUUCGAUUCCGGAGAGGGAGCCUGAGAAACGGCUACCACAUCUAAGGAAGGCAGCGGGCGCGCAAAUUACCCAAUCCUAAUACAGGGAGGUAGUGACAAGAAAUAACAAUACAGGACUUAAUUGUUUUGUAAUUGGAAUGAGUUAAGUAUAAACCCCUUUACAAGUAUCAAUUGGAGGGCAAGUCUGGUGCCAGCAGCCGCGGUAAUUCCAGCUCCAAUAGCGUAUAUUAAAGUUGUUGCAGUUAAAAAGCUCCUAGUUGGAUUUCUGUUAAUAUUUUAUAUUAUUAAUUUAUUAUUAUUAAUAUAAUAUUAACGUAACUCAUAUUACUUUUUUUUAAGUAUAUGAAAUUUUACUUUGAGAAAAUUAGAGUGCUUAAAGCAGGCUUUUGCCUUGAAUACUCCAGCAUGGAAUAAUAUUGAAGAUUUUUAUCUUUCUUAUUGGUUCUAAGAUAGAAAUAAUGAUUAAUAGGGACAGUUGGGGGCAUUUGUAUUUAACAGUCAGAGGUGAAAUUUCUUAGAA